AAAUACAGUGGGUGGUCCGCCCAGUUCUAACCAGUGUUUUUAUACAAAGUAUUCCUACGGGUAAUGUAUGUCCAUGGGUGACUUCUCGGUACCCCCUUUUCCCACUGUCCAACAAACACCAUAACAAAACCAAUACUCACAGGUGGGGACAAGGUGACAUGUAGUUGCAAAAACCAAACAAGAGAUCUACAGACAGAUGGCAUUGAAAGAGAGAUUGAGCUCUAAAGCAAACAACAGACAGGGUUUUUAAACCAAGGGAAAGGGAAUGUGAUAGGGUAAUGGAAACAGGAGGAGUUGUGUCUUCUGAUUAGCGACUGAUUGAUGACUGAUUGGGGAAUGAUGAUUGCCACCUGUGCGGAGGAGAGAAAAUAAAUACACACACAGGAUACCUGUAUCUGUAACACCCCACCUGAAGAAAUCUUCACCAGACCACACGUACAUCGAUGGACACCGAGGGGGCAAAGGUUGAGUUUAGAUCACAAAAACCUCAGUAUAAGCUAAGGUUGUAAUGGUUGUUGAAUUCCUAACCAUACCACGUGGUGCAUUGGCUACACGGGUGGAAAUGGUUAAACGCCGAGGCUAUCGAUCCUGGCAGAAUAAGAGCAAAUCUUAGAUACUAAUUACUAGUCUGCAGCAAGAAAUUAUGUCAACCUGGAAUGCGAAGACCGACACCCACCGAAACAUCUAUUCCAUAAGAACAUUUCUGAAUGGAACUCUGAAGUAUCGAUUCUAACCACGAAAGACUUCAGGGAAGCAGAGAGACGCUCAGAUGAACUUUCCAACAGAAGGACUGAUGAUUCCCAUAGAGAUCACGACGGCACACUGGGGAGGCCCUUUGAGUCCUGGAGAGUAAAGAAGAGCAGCUCCCACCAGUUCAUCUUCAAUGCAAACCAUGUUCCCUGCAUCUCUGCUGCUGCUGCUGGCAGCUGCCUCCUGUGUCUGCUGUGGUAUUGAACUCAUCCAUUCUGGUCCAGUGGUUAUAAAACGAGAAGAGUCUUUCAGCAUCUCCUGAAAUUCUCUGGGUUUUCUAUAUCUUCUUACUGUCCUCACUGGAUAUGACAAGCUGAAGGCAAAGCUUUGGAGCAUGUUGGUUAUACAUGCAGUAGUAGUACUUUGAGUGUUGGACUAGUAACCGAAAGGUUCCAUGUUCAAAUCUCAGAGCUGACAGUUUACAAAUCUGUCGUUCUGCCCCUGAACAGGUAGUUAACCCACUGUUCCUAGGCCGUCAUUGAAAAUAAGAAUUUGUUCUUAACUGACUUGCCUAGUUAAAUACAGGUAAAAUAAAAUAUAAAUUCUGACUGAAGACACAGCUAGGUGUUAUUGUGCUCGGUGGACACAGUGAUACAAACCAUGACCAGAGCUGUACAAAAACCCUUCCUCCAGGGAUUCAUUGUAUAAUAGGACUCCAUAAAUUGAAUAGAACAUAGAUGCUCCUCAAUAUCCAAUGUGUAAAUUAAUUUAAGCUGGAACUAAAUGUUUGAAUUGUUUGCCAACCUUGAUGGUAUUCUAAUUGAUGUCUAGUAAACAUUCAAUGAACUCA
Oncorhynchus kisutch (coho salmon) is the source of this 1540-nucleotide long non-coding RNA. RefSeq lists it as uncharacterized. Lineage: Eukaryota; Metazoa; Chordata; Actinopteri; Salmoniformes; Salmonidae. The record is from RefSeq and is a predicted model, not a curated record. The transcript is spliced from 3 exons.